AUGGUCAAAAAAAAUCCUAUGGUAAACUUGUAUAUUUUUUGCUUCAUUGCAAUGGCAUCAUAGCACUUGUCCUUCUUCAUUUGUUCCAUGUCAUCCUUCACAUCUCUACUUCGGUCUUCAAUACUACUAAUUCAGCUUUCAUUCCCUCCACCACUUCCAUUAGAGGCAUUUGUACAGGUUCUACAUCCAACCAUUUCCAAUAUUUGCAUUUACCCUUCAACACAAAUAACUCAUAAGAAGAUUUCAAAUCAAGAAAAUGAAACAGAAAAUGAGAAAGAUUCAAGUGAAAUAGCUUACCUCAUUGCACACCAUGAAAUGUCUCCCUGGAUUCUUUUGGUGUUGUUGACGUUACAAUACGUGUAGGGAAACCACAAUCACAAGUUUUUGGAUAGUACACUGUUGAUUUCUUGCUUGAUCGAUUGAGGGACGAUGAGAAGCUGUAGGAGGAAGCCAUUAAGGAAUUAGGGCACAAUAAAGGAACCACAUACGCCCCUUUUUUAAUAACAUUAGCCCUACAUGCCACAUAGGAUCAAACUAACACGUAGAAUCGAUAAAUCCUUUGCAACCGGCAAAAAACAAUCGGAAGAAAAAAAUUUACACAAAUCAAUAAGUUAAAUGGCUAUUAGAACACAAAAAAACGUUUACCAAAUGUAGUAUGUUGUCUUCUCAAUCCCUUUAUUUUAAUAUAUUAGCUCUACUUUUAGAAUUAAUUACUAUUAACUUUUUGAAUGGACAAAGUACCUUUUCCACGUAAACACAGUGUGUGAUCCAUGUUUCCUUCUUCAGGCGCUGUAACGAAUUCC
RNAcentral lists this long non-coding RNA (803 nucleotides) under Lactuca sativa (garden lettuce). Its description in RNAcentral is "long non-coding RNA (LSAT_LNC005836)". Lineage: Eukaryota; Viridiplantae; Streptophyta; Magnoliopsida; Asterales; Asteraceae. The record is from RNAcentral.